AUGACCGCCGACACGUCGGACUACGAAUCCCCGUGGGCGUGCCUGCUGCAACCAGACGUUGUUCGGCUGAUCGGGUGGCGAGUGCUGGCCAGCGACCUGCUCGACUAUGUCCGCUUCCGCGCCACCUGCCAGCAUUGGAGGUCCAGCACCGUCUCCCCACGCGGCAGUGGCAUCGUCGAUCCGCUAUUUCAUCCCCGUCGGUGGAUGCUGCUGCCUCAGGGGCACGGGCUGCACCCUGGCAACGGCGUGCUACGAUUCUUCAAUCUCUCGAGAGGGAUCUUCGUCCGCACCCGGCUCCCGCUUCUCACGGAUCAUCGCGUCCUCGACUCGCUCGAUGGAGUCCUCCUCCUGCAACACAAUCGCGACGACGACGUCCCAAUUCGCGUCCUCAAUCCUCUCACCGGCGAUACUGCGGAGCUCCCCGCGCGCACGCCUUCCGUGGAAAUCUAUUUUGAUUCGCUUAUCAAUAAUCAAGAGCAUGCCGCCUCCUUGAGCGUCAGUGCAGACGGAGUCGCCAUGGUCGCCGUCGCGCUAUUUAGUUUGUCGACUAUAAUAUUUGCUACCACGAGAGAUCGGCGAUGGAGCGUCGCCACAUGGAACCCCCGAUAUAUGGGAGUGCCAUCAGUAUCAUUCCAAGGAAAGAUAUACGCCUUGCGAAGUUCCGCGGAGGUGGGUACAUAUAAGAGGACAGUGCAAAUUUUCCAGAUCGAGCCACAGCUGAUGCGGAUAGGUCCAUCCUACCCAAAGUUGAUUGCAUCAUGUACAAUUGGUGGAAUCGACGACUCUUUUGAUCUGGUAGAAUGUGACUCGGAAAUCCUGUUGAUCCAUACAAAAUACAGUGCGACGUCUCCUGAAUUUCUAGUAUACAAAUUAGCCGACCUUAUUCUGGGUAAGCUUGUCCCGGUGACAAGCAUAGGGGGCAAUGUUCUCUUUGUUGAUGUCGCGAGGAGACAGAGUGUGAGUUCCCGAGCUAUGCUUGGCAAUGGCAUUACAGGUGACGCCGUUGUCUAUCUUGUGCCCUCGUAUGGCCGUCCUCAACAGUACCAGAUCGGUAGUGGUACAUGGUCGGAUGUAGCAGGGGAUGUCUCAGAUGAGGUGAAACGUAGAAGUGAUAUUUAUAGAAGUGAUGAGAUGGCCACAUGGGGUGUAAAUUAUCGUUUUCAUCCUGUACGCGAGAAAGCAGAGGAGCUUGGAUCAAUGACAGACUUUCUUGGCUUUAUUUCUGUACCUUGUGGCUGGUGUGAUUAG
This 1248-nucleotide ribosomal RNA is filed under the name Triticum aestivum (bread wheat). RNAcentral's name for it is "partial small subunit ribosomal RNA". The record is from RNAcentral. Lineage: Eukaryota; Viridiplantae; Streptophyta; Magnoliopsida; Poales; Poaceae.